GGAAAAUUUUAUUUGAAAGUGAACUAAUCUUUUAAAGAAUCGUUUGACUAAAUGAUUGAAUGAUUCACUCAUAAAGAGAGUCACUUGUCGCCACCUAGUGGCAUUAACGAUGUAACCUGCAGAAAGAAUCUCGGAAAAUUCCCCCUUCUUAUGCACAGAUGAACAGUUUAGCAGACUAAUACAAACAAAAUCCCAGUGCUGGGCUAUACUGUUUGAACGCAGGGUUGUUCCGGUUCACCAUUUUGAUUGGACAAGAGGCAUUCCCCACAUGCUAGUAUUGCUUCAAACAAGUUUCUUACACUGAAGAGCAGAGACAGACCAUCAAGCGUGGGUCACCAGGGAGACCAGCCACUGGGGGCCCCCCUGCAAAGCUGCAUAGAAAGGGCCCUCAGCCAUUGAGAAGCUAGGAACAUCUGAAGAAACAUCUAAAAAAGUCUUUGUUGAGUAUCCGGCCCAUUGCUGGGAAUGAUCCUUCGUCCUUUUGAUGAGUUAUCAGCCAGGAUUUGGCUGAACGUAAUUCUUCGGGAUCAAUGAAGAUGAAGCCACGUGACUGAGCAAAUGAUUUCAGUACGAAUGCAGUCAACCUGGAGGACGAAGAGGUAAAAGACACCAACACUGAUGUGUUAUACUAGGAGUUAAUUCUAGGCAACUUGUAAAGGGUUCGAAGUCAGUCUCAGAAGGUAUGACCAUUGACAUUAAACAAACAAAAACACUGUCCACUACCUAUGUCCAAAACUACUUUCUUUCUUGGCCUGUCUUGUUUGUUUCUCAAACACUUGCCUAUAAGUCAAGCUAUACAUUUAAUAAAUGGAGUGUGAAUGU
This is a long non-coding RNA of Megalobrama amblycephala (Wuchang bream), 822 nucleotides long. RefSeq lists it as uncharacterized. The transcript has 3 exons. NCBI's taxonomy places the organism in Eukaryota, Metazoa, Chordata, Actinopteri, Cypriniformes, Xenocyprididae. The record is from RefSeq and is a predicted model, not a curated record.